UCUUCUUUGUUUCUUAAAUGCUUGACCCAGAAUUUUGCAUGUAGUCAUCAAGACAUCGCCCCACAGCUGAGCUGUGUCAUGGAACAGCCAGCCCAUCUAAAAGGCUGCCUACUCAUCAGCCUGCUCAGCCUGUGUGGGCUGGGAAUGUGGUGCCAUGCAGGGGAGGCAUUCCCCCCGUUGCAUGGUACCACAUACCCUUUGGGAAAGAGCUCUGUGCCUGCCCCAUAAACACUCUGUGGCACCAUUCCUCCCUCCUGACUCUGCCUGUCUUCUGCCAUCCUUUGAUGUGUAAAUUGGAAAACUGUCAUCACCUAUUGAUCUCAAAAAUGUCAUCCUAUGUGAAAAGUUAGUGCACU
RNAcentral lists this long non-coding RNA (356 nucleotides) under Homo sapiens (human). RNAcentral describes it as "HSALNT0017261". The record is from RNAcentral. Lineage: Eukaryota; Metazoa; Chordata; Mammalia; Primates; Hominidae.